This is a non-coding RNA of Marasmius tenuissimus, 91 nucleotides long. The record is from the annotation of a GenBank genome assembly. NCBI's taxonomy places the organism in Eukaryota, Fungi, Basidiomycota, Agaricomycetes, Agaricales, Marasmiaceae.
GCUGGGAUGGCCGAGUCGUUAAGGCGAGUGAUUUGAAUAUUUCACUAUCACUUGGUGUUUCACCGCGUAGGUUCAAAUCCUGCUCCCAGCG